CUGGAGGACACGUGAGCCRUGCUGGGAAAUGGGGCUUAGCCCCUUGCCGAUUGCUGCUGGGGAGCGGCUUUUGCUGAUGCCUGCCUCGUCUUUGCAGGGAGAGCAGAGAAGGGCUACAAACCCGCGGGGGGUGAGUGAGUGGAGGCAGGCCCGUGGCCCGCCUCCCACUGAGCAGCACCGGCACGAUCCAGUCUCCUCUUGUUCCUAGCAGCAGUGCUGGAGUUUCCCAGUCCAGACGGCUGCGUAGAAAAGCUCCUUUCUCUCUUUAGAAGCAAAGAGCAGUGGUUUGGGUGGUGCAGUUUUGGAAAGGCUGCUCCUGCCCUGCCAGACCCCACUCCUGGCUUUGAGUGCCCCCAUCCUUUGCUCUUGCCCGUGGCCUGGGUGGUGGGGCUGGGCACUGGCUCAGUUCUGUGGCAUCCCCCUGCCCCCGGGGGAGGCUGGUGUGGGAGCGUGGGGCAGUGUGUGGGGCUGCAGAGCUCGCCUGCAGCUGGGAAUCUUGCCAGGUAGCUGCAUGCAGUUCCAUGUUGACCUUGAAUGGCCGUUUCCUCCUUGGUCAGGAGUUGCAAUGGCCCUGCCCAUGCUGCUGUUUCUGCUGGGGGAAAGGAGUGGGGUGUGUGGGGUGAGGAACAGCCGCCUUGGCCAAGAGAAGGAGUCGUCUCUGCACAUAUCAGCUCCCUUUUUCCAUGAUGCCCAUGCCUGGAAGGUGGCUCUGGCAGUGAUGAUGGUGGCUGUGUUAAUGUUGAUAAYUGAUUUAAUUCUCUUCAGUGUUCAUCGGUUUAAGACGAGAGGUAAAAUCCUAACGGGGCAAGGGAGGAACCAUCUAGUUGCAAAGGGAUGUUUUCAGAGGGGUGAGGCCGCGAUGGAGGUGGAGGCCCUGACCCACCUCUGCUAAGGUGCAAAGGGAGCUCCCCCCGGGCAUCACAGCUGUGUUUGCAUCAUGCCUUCAGYGUGCUGAGAACUCAACUUGGGCUCCCGGCAGAAGGCAGGGGGACAUUUGUCUUGAUACUGAACAAAAUAUUUGUCAUUUUGAAAUACAUCCUGAUGAAACCCCAGAAACUGUACUUGUAUAUAUUGGAAAAGGAUGUGUCUGUAUGAGAACCCUCUGUGAUCUCAUAUUCUUGGAUAACAUUACUGUAGACACAAGUAAUCACUCAAAUAUUUKUUUUUGUAAUUUUACUAAAAUUAUGGGCUGUGACUUUAAUUAUUCAGCUCCUGUUGUGUCUUAUCAAUUAUUACAUUCUAAAUAUACCUUAAGUCAAGAUUUAUUGCCUACCCSCAUCGGAAUGAAUCUUACAUUAGUGAAAGAACUACUACAACAUGAUGACCUGUGUCAACUGUUAAAACRCAUCYRAAACAAUGGACAAAAACUCUAAUCACCGUUCAUCAUGAUACAGAAGCGAUACACCACAUCUUGGAAGGAGGAUGGAGAAUAUCAUUGGUGGGAGACUCUUCUGGGAUGGUCACCAACCACAACAGGGUUCUAUAAUCACAUGUUGCACCCAGUAGUAGUUGUGUAAAGUUUAACCGUGCUCUGCCUAUUACUUACAAUCAUAUUACACAUAAGAUCAUGGAGAGUGAUAGUACGGCUCGAAAGGCUUGGAGAACUCUGCUUAACAUAUUAGCAGGAAUGCUUAAUAAAAACAGAGGGAGGACUGUUAGAGAAUAUCA
RNAcentral lists this long non-coding RNA (1668 nucleotides) under Apteryx rowi (Okarito brown kiwi). Its description in RNAcentral is "lncRNA (ENSARWG00000009124.1)". The record is from RNAcentral. Lineage: Eukaryota; Metazoa; Chordata; Aves; Apterygiformes; Apterygidae.